AUGUCUCGUAUAGAGGCUAUCUCAGACCAUGCACCCAUCCUCUUAUCUACUGGAUUGCCACGACCACAGCACAGACGCAAGUUCAAGUUCGAACUGGGUUGGUGGCAUCGGGAUGGAUUCCGAGACAUGGUCAAGGAGGUGUGGGAUAAACCGGUUGCCGGACAUACCCCAAUUCACAAAUGGAACAACAAAAUGUGUGCUUUACGUAAGUUCCUUCGUGGUUGGGCUAGGCACACUGCGGGUAUCCUCAAAAAAUAAAAGCUUCGUCUUUCAUCUAUUAUUGAUGAUUUAGAAGCUUUGGCAGAGAUUAGACCUCUCUCUGAGCAUGAAAUAGAGAUCAAGAGUCAAUCGAAUGCCCAGUUAGCUCGCAUGGUACAUGAAGAGGAACUUAAGUGGUACCAGCAUUCAAAAUCUCAGUUUAUCCUAAAAGGUGAUUCGAAUACGAGAUAUUUCCAUGGUGUCGCCAAUGGUAGACACCGAAAGAAACUUAUUCAUUCCCUACAUCAGGAGGAGGGCACGAUUGAAGGGCAUGAGCAACUUAAGUCUUAUAUAAAUAAUUAUUACAAAAAUCUAUUCGGAACCCCUAAGAAAGGAAACUUCUCGAUGGAUGAGUCUCGAAUAGAUGACGUCCCGCAAGUUUCUGAUGCGGAAAAUAGCCUUCUAACAGCUCCAUUUUCUGAGGAGGAAGUUAGAAAGGCGGUUUUCCUAAUGGAGCACAACAAAGCUCCGGGUCCAGAUGGUUUUCCCGCUGAGUUCUACCAAAACUUUUGGGAUGUCAUCAAACAUGAUCUCCUACUCUUGUUUGGCUGCCUUCACGUUGGCCAACUAGAGUUGUUUCGAUUAAACUUCGGUGAAAUUAUUUUAUGUCGGGGAAACGACACCUAUGAGAUCACGAGAAUCCCUACUAUGGUUGGCGGGGCGCGGGGUUGUGAGAAGAGCAGGUUUAGGAGCUAG
Molecule: ribosomal RNA, 954 nt
Filed under: Triticum aestivum (bread wheat)
Lineage: Eukaryota; Viridiplantae; Streptophyta; Magnoliopsida; Poales; Poaceae
Description: partial small subunit ribosomal RNA
Source: RNAcentral